This 279-nucleotide unclassified non-coding RNA is filed under the name plant metagenome. RNAcentral describes it as "partial contains small subunit ribosomal RNA, internal transcribed spacer 1, and 5.8S ribosomal RNA". The record is from RNAcentral.
UCUCCGUAGGUGAACCUGCGGAGGGAUCAUUACAGAGUUCAUGCCCUACCGGGUAGAUCUUCCACCCUAUGUUAUUAUUACUUUGUUGCUUUGGCGGGCCGCUAGGCUCCGGCCCGACUACCGGCCCCGGCCGGUAAGCGCCCGCCAGAGGAUCCAAAUCCCUGCAUUCUAGUGUCGUCUGAUUCAAAUAUAACAAUUCAAACUUUCAACAACGGAUCUCCUCGUUCUUGCAUCGAUGAAGAACGAAGCAGAACGGACGAGCACACGACCUAAAUUCAC